RNAcentral lists this ribosomal RNA (1391 nucleotides) under Streptomyces spinosisporus. RNAcentral's name for it is "partial 23S ribosomal RNA". It matches the Rfam family "Bacterial large subunit ribosomal RNA", at positions 1557 to 2925 of the family's 2925-position model. Lineage: Bacteria; Bacillati; Actinomycetota; Actinomycetes; Kitasatosporales; Streptomycetaceae. The record is from RNAcentral.
UGAGACCUGAUGCCGAGCCGAUUGUGGUGAAGUGGAUGAUCCUAUGCUGUCGAGAAAAGCCUCUAGCGAGUUUCAUGGCGGCCCGUACCCUAAACCGACUCAGGUGGUCUGGUAGAGAAUACCGAGGCGUUCGGGUGAACUAUGGUUAAGGAACUCGGCAAAAUGCCCCCGUAACUUCGGGAGAAGGGGGGCCACACCCGGUGAAGGAACUUGCUUCCUGAGCUGGGGGUGGCCGCAGAGACCAGCGAGAAGCGACUGUUUACUAAAAACACAGGUCCGUGCGAAGCCGUAAGGCGAUGUAUACGGACUGACGCCUGCCCGGUGCUGGAACGUUAAGGGGACCGGUUAGUCCGAUUUCGGUCGGGCGAAGCUGAGAACUUAAGCGCCAGUAAACGGCGGUGGUAACUAUAACCAUCCUAAGGUAGCGAAAUUCCUUGUCGGGUAAGUUCCGACCUGCACGAAUGGCGUAACGACUUCUCGACUGUCUCAACCAUAGGCCCGGUGAAAUUGCACUACGAGUAAAGAUGCUCGUUUCGCGCAGCAGGACGGAAAGACCCCGGGACCUUUACUACAGUUUGAUAUUGGUGUUCGGUUCGGCUUGUGUAGGAUAGCUGGGAGACUGUGAAACGCGGACGCCAGUUCGUGUGGAGUCGUCGUUGAAAUACCAGUCUGGUCGUGCUGGAUGUCUAACCUGGGUCCGUGAUCCGGAUCAGGGACAGUGUCUGAUGGGUAGUUUAACUGGGGCGGUUGCCUCCUAAAGGGUAACGGAGGCGCCCAAAGGUUCCCUCAGCCUGGUUGGCAAUCAGGUGUUGAGUGUAAGUGCACAAGGGAGCUUGACUGUGAGACCGACGGGUCGAGCAGGGACGAAAGUCGGGACUAGUGAUCCGGCGGUGGCUUGUGGAAGCGCCGUCGCUCAACGGAUAAAAGGUACCCCGGGGAUAACAGGCUGAUCUUCCCCAAGAGUCCAUAUCGACGGGAUGGUUUGGCACCUCGAUGUCGGCUCGUCGCAUCCUGGGGCUGGAGUCGGUCCCAAGGGUUGGGCUGUUCGCCCAUUAAAGCGGUACGCGAGCUGGGUUUAGAACGUCGUGAGACAGUUCGGUCCCUAUCCGCUGUGCGCGUAGGAGUCUUGAGAAGGGCUGUCCCUAGUACGAGAGGACCGGGACGGACGAACCUCUGGUGUGCCAGUUGUUCUGCCAAGGGCAUGGCUGGUUGGCUACGUUCGGGAGGGAUAACCGCUGAAAGCAUCUAAGCGGGAAGCCUGCUUCGAGAUGAGGACUCCCACCCACUUGAUGGGGUAAGGCUCCCAGUAGACGACUGGGUUGAUAGGCCGGAUCUGGAAGCCAGGUAACUGGUGGAGGUGACCGGUACUAAUAGGCCGAGGGCUUGUCCUC